GCCGGCGUACUCCAACUGGCAGAGAGGCGGCACUUAGAAUGCCGACAGUGCGGGUUCGAAUCCCGUCGCCGGCACCA
RNAcentral lists this transfer RNA (77 nucleotides) under Pseudonocardia sp. RNAcentral's name for it is "tRNA-Leu". It matches the Rfam family "tRNA". From Rfam's summary of the family: Transfer RNA (tRNA) molecules are approximately 80 nucleotides in length. Their secondary structure includes four short double-helical elements and three loops (D, anti-codon, and T loops). Further hydrogen bonds mediate the characteristic L-shaped molecular structure. tRNAs have two regions of fundamental functional importance: the anti-codon, which is responsible for specific mRNA codon recognition, and the 3' end, to which the tRNAs corresponding amino acid is attached (by aminoacyl-tRNA synthetases). tRNAs cope with the degeneracy of the genetic code in two manners: having more than one tRNA (with a specific anti-codon) for a particular amino acid; and 'wobble' base-pairing, i.e. permitting non-standard base-pairing at the 3rd anti-codon position. The record is from RNAcentral. RNAcentral also lists the same sequence under 1 other name. Lineage: Bacteria; Bacillati; Actinomycetota; Actinomycetes; Pseudonocardiales; Pseudonocardiaceae.